Molecule: transfer RNA, 63 nt
Filed under: Ibidoecus plataleae
Lineage: Eukaryota; Metazoa; Arthropoda; Insecta; Psocodea; Philopteridae
Description: tRNA-Ser
Source: RNAcentral
AACUGACUAGUCUAAAAAAGACGUAUACUUUGAAAGUAUAAAAUAAGAAUCUCUUGUUAGUUU